RNAcentral lists this long non-coding RNA (2700 nucleotides) under Macaca fascicularis (crab-eating macaque). RNAcentral describes it as "lncRNA (ENSMFAG00000058391.1)". The record is from RNAcentral. Lineage: Eukaryota; Metazoa; Chordata; Mammalia; Primates; Cercopithecidae.
GGAAUUAGUUUUUCCUCUUCUUUUUUCCAACCAUGAAGGUCCCCGUGGGGUGGAGCAUGGUGCCCCUCACAAGCCGCAGUGGCUGGUGCACGGGCUGCCAGGGACAAGCCAGAGGGCUCGAUGUCCUGUCUGUGCAGGGCGCUUUGGUGGUGGUUCAGCCGGCUCAAGGUUCACCGGUGAAGGCAGGUGCGGUAACUGCCGCACUGGACCCUAGGAAGGCCCAGGGUAUUCGAAAUCUGACCUCAUCCUGUCUGUUUCCCUUCACGGAUCAAUUCUCACUUGAGAGGCCAAUAAACAGAUAACCCAACAUGAAAAGGUGACAAGCCCAGGUUUCUUCCAGGAUAGGUGAAAGGGUUAAAGUGAGUAAAGCAGUUGAGUCAACACCAACCCAAGCUGCGGGUGCAGAAUUCACCUUUUCUCUUCCCACCUUUCCAUCUCCUUACCCCUCAGAAACAACGCUUCACUUCUGGUGUGUCUGUUGAUCUGUGUUUUCAUUUACAUCUCUAUUAGGCUCUGCUCUUGUUCUUCAGAUUUUCACCAAAUAGGUUUGGGGUUGGCGGGACCUGCUGGUGACAUGCAGGUGAAGGGGGGAAGGGGCACGCAAGCAUAAAUAGAGGUGACGAGAGGAGAGCAUGAAGGGUGGGGCCUUGGGACCCACUGGGGCCAGUGGCUGGAGCUCGACGUGUUUCCUCCCCAUGGGGGUGGGAGGUCCCCCAGCUGGAAGAGCAGACUCCCAGCUGCUACCCCCUCCCUUCCCAUGGGAGUGGCUUUCCUUUUUGGGCAGAAUGCUGACUAGCAGACUAACAUAAAAGAAAGAUAUAAGAGGCAAUAACUAUUGUUUGUGAACAACUUUUUUAACUUCCAAAACGAAAACCUGAGCACAGUUUUGAAGUUCUAGCCACCUGAACUGCAUGCAUGUGAAACAUGUGCUUUAAGAAGGUGGCAGCUGACAGACGUGGGCUCUGCGUGCCGCCAGCCUAGUAGAAAGUUCUCGUUCGUUGGCAACAGCAGAACCUGCCUCUCCGUGAAGUUGUCAGCCUAAAAUUUGUUUCUCUCUAGAAGAGGAUUCUUUGAAAAGGUCCUGCAGAGAAAUCAAUACAGGUUAUCCUGAAAGGUACAAGGACACAUUUGUAAAGAUUAUUGAAACGUAUCUUUCCUUUAUGUGACGUGUCUCUAGUGCCUUACUGAAGAAGCAGUGACACUCCUGUCGCAGGGUGGGGACAUUCCUGGCCAGUGCCUCACUCACCUGGGACUGGUAUCCCCUCCCAGGGUCCACCAAGGGCUCCUGCUUUUCAGACACCCCAUCGUCCUCGCGCGUCCUUACCCUCUCUCCACUGAGGAGGUGCCUAGCUUGGUGAGGUGACCCCUCCUGCUCCUCCAAUCUUUUUUGCCAAGGUUUGUGCACAACUCCCAUCUAGGCUGAAAACCUAGAAGUGGACCUUGUGUGUGUGCAUGGCGUCAGCCCAAAGCCAGGCUGAGGCAGUCCCCAUAUCCUCUUGAGCCAAAGUGUUUGGGUCUCGUUGCAUCAUGGUAUGGUCUGGAUUUGUGGGAAUGGCUUUGCAUGAGAAAAGGGAGGAGAGUGGUUGCUGCCCUCAGCCGGCUUGAGGACAGAGCCUGUCCCUCUCGUGACAACUCCGUGUUGAAGCCCAUUGUCCCCGGCUUCAUGCCCAACGGACGGCAGAAGUUCAUGGGGGUGGUGACCUAUCAAAGGCUGGGCGCAUCCCAAGACAGCCAGCAGGUCGUCUCUGGAAACGACCAGAGUUAAGCUCUUCGCUUCUCUGCUGGGGGUGCACCCUUUCCUCUAGAUGGUAGUUGUCACAUUAUCUUUGAAGACUCUUGGACUGCCCCUGAGGAGGCCCUCUUUUCCAGUAGGAAGUUAGAUGGGGCUCUCGGAAGUGGCUAGUUGGAGGGGGACCAGCUUGGUUUCAGGGAUCUGUCUUUCCAUCCUGGUUCAGGGAAGGCCGAGGGUGACUUUCUCUAGCCUCGUCACUGUUUCUCUAGCCUUGUCACUGUCUCCCUGCCUGUCAAUCACCACCUUUCCUCUAGAGGAGGAAAAUUAUCUCCCCUGCAAAGCCCGGUUCUGCACAGACGAUUUCGCAAAUUGUGCUAAGAACCUUCCGUGUUCUCAAAAAGCCCAGUGUUUUUGCAAAGAAUGAAAAGGGACCCCAUAUGUAGCAAAAAUCAGGGCUGGGGGAGAGCCAGGUUCAUGCCCUGUCCUCACUGGUCGUCCCUAUGAAUUGUACGUUUCAGAGAAAUUUUUUUUCCUAUGUGCAACACGAAGCUUCCAGAACCAUGAAAUAUCCCGAUGAUAAGGAAAGAAAAUGUUGUUGUUGUGUUUUUUUCUGGAAACUGCUUGAAAUCUUGCUGUACUAUAGAGCUCAGAAGGACACAGCCCGUCCUCCCCUGCCUGCCUGAUUCCAUGGCUGUUGUGCUGAUUCCAAUGCUUUCACGUUGGUUCCUGGCGUGGGAACUGCUCUCCUUUGCAGCUCCAUUUCCCAAGCUCUGUUCAAGUUAAACUUAUGUAAGCACUCUGUGGCACGCGGGGCGCGCACCCACGCCCCGCUGCAUAAGACUCUGUAUUUGGAUGCCAAUCCACAGGCCUGAAGAAACUGCUUGUUGUGUAUCAGUAAUCAUUAGUGGCAAUGAUGACAUUCUGAAAAGCUGCAAUACUUAUACAAUAAAUUUUACAAUUCUUUGGAA